This is a long non-coding RNA of Quercus robur (English oak), 369 nucleotides long. RefSeq lists it as uncharacterized. The record is from RefSeq and is a predicted model, not a curated record. The transcript is spliced from 3 exons. Lineage: Eukaryota; Viridiplantae; Streptophyta; Magnoliopsida; Fagales; Fagaceae.
GUGACUUUGAUUUCUAGGUUGUAAGAGCUCCAUUGCAGGUUUGACAAUGUGACCCUUUCAUUCCUUGUGAAGGAAACUGCACGGUUCAAGGGUCUUUGAGGUUUUUACAAGGGCAUUACACCAAACCUUCCUGAAGAAUGUUCUCGUUAGAAGGGAACCAGCCUUCAUCAAAUUGGCCAUCUGUGGGUAAAGUUGACAUACAUGGUUUGCAGAUUAAAUAUAGGCCUGAUGCACUUGUUCUGAGGGGGAUCAGUUGCACAUUUGAGGAAGGGCACAAAAUAGGUAUUGUUGGCAGAACUGGCAGUGGGAAGACCACUCUCAUAGGUGCUCUAUUUCGUCCAGUGGAGCCAGCUAGAGGGAAGAUAUAGU